RNAcentral lists this transfer RNA (72 nucleotides) under Bos taurus (domestic cattle). RNAcentral's name for it is "tRNA-Glu". It matches the Rfam family "tRNA". Rfam says of the family: Transfer RNA (tRNA) molecules are approximately 80 nucleotides in length. Their secondary structure includes four short double-helical elements and three loops (D, anti-codon, and T loops). The record is from RNAcentral. Lineage: Eukaryota; Metazoa; Chordata; Mammalia; Artiodactyla; Bovidae.
GUUCUUGUAGUUGAAUGACAACGAUGGUUUUUCAUAUCAUUAGUCAUGGUUAGAUUCCAUGUAAGAAUACCA